RNAcentral lists this transfer RNA (75 nucleotides) under Deltaproteobacteria bacterium. Its description in RNAcentral is "tRNA-Val". It matches the Rfam family "tRNA". From Rfam's summary of the family: Transfer RNA (tRNA) molecules are approximately 80 nucleotides in length. Their secondary structure includes four short double-helical elements and three loops (D, anti-codon, and T loops). Lineage: Bacteria; Pseudomonadati; Myxococcota; Myxococcia. RNAcentral also lists the same sequence under 2 other names. The record is from RNAcentral.
GGGCGGUUAACUCAGCGGUAGAGUGCCACCUUCACACGGUGGAAGUCACUGGUUCAAACCCAGUACCGCCCACCA